UCGGGGGACCAUUGAUGGCGGGACACACAACAAGGAAGUGAAUGCAGUCAGUGUAGAUGCUAUGGCGUGGGAAUACUGGUGCGUGUGGUGGAAAUGUUUGGUGGAGCAAAACCAGCGGGUACCUCGCGGCUUGCGGAGAUGUUGUGGAUGAAGACUGGUGAGUUACUGGCUGUUUUCUC
Molecule: long non-coding RNA, 179 nt
Organism: Alosa sapidissima (American shad)
Lineage: Eukaryota; Metazoa; Chordata; Actinopteri; Clupeiformes; Clupeidae
Exons: 3
Source: RefSeq, a predicted model, not a curated record